This 643-nucleotide ribosomal RNA is filed under the name uncultured Bacteroidota bacterium. Its description in RNAcentral is "bacterial SSU rRNA". It matches the Rfam family "Bacterial small subunit ribosomal RNA", at positions 28 to 665 of the family's 1533-position model. The record is from RNAcentral. Lineage: Bacteria; Pseudomonadati; Bacteroidota.
GAUGAACGCUAGCGGCAAGCCUAACACAUGCAAGUCGAACGGUAACUUUUGGUGCUUGCACCGAAAGACGAGUGGCGAACGGGUGCGUAACGCGUAUGCAAUCUGCCUUUUACUAGGGUAUAGCCCAGAGAAAUUUGGAUUAAUCCCCUAUAAUAUCAUUUAAUCGCAUGAUUUUAUGAUUAAAGCUUCGGCGGUAAAAGAUGAGCAUGCGUCCUAUUAGUUAGUAGGUGAGGUAACGGCUCACCUAGACUCCGAUAGGUAGGGGUCCUGAGAGGGAGAUCCCCCACACUGGUACUGAGACACGGACCAGACUCCUACGGGAGGCAGCAGUGAGGAAUAUUGGACAAUGGACGAAAGUCUGAUCCAGCUAUGCCGCGUGCAGGAUGACGGCCCUAUGGGUUGUAAACUGCUUUUAUACAGGAAGAAAAACUCCGACGUGUCGGAACUUGACGGUACUGUAAGAAUAAGGAUCGGCUAACUCCGUGCCAGCAGCCGCGGUAAUACGGAGGAUCCAAGCGUUAUCCGGAAUCAUUGGGUUUAAAGGGUCCGUAGGCGGUUUUUUAAGUCAGAGGUGAAAUCCUGCAGCUCAACUGUAGAAUUGCCUUUGAUACUGAAAGACUUGAGUUAUUGUGAAGUGGUUAGA